This 253-nucleotide ribosomal RNA is filed under the name uncultured bacterium. RNAcentral describes it as "partial 16S ribosomal RNA". It matches the Rfam family "Bacterial small subunit ribosomal RNA", at positions 524 to 776 of the family's 1533-position model. The record is from RNAcentral.
UACGAAGGGGGCUAGCGUUGCUCGGAAUCACUGGGCGUAAAGCGCACGUAGGCGGCUUUCUAAGUCAGGGGUGAAAUCCUGGAGCUCAACUCCAGAACUGCCUUUGAUACUGGAGAGCUUGAGUCCGGAAGAGGUGAGUGGAACUCCGAGUGUAGAGGUGAAAUUCGUAGAUAUUCGGAAGAACACCAGUGGCGAAGGCGGCUCUCUGGGACGUGACUGACGCUGAGACGCGAAAGCGUGGGGAGCAAACAGG